This 254-nucleotide ribosomal RNA is filed under the name uncultured bacterium. RNAcentral describes it as "partial 16S ribosomal RNA". It matches the Rfam family "Bacterial small subunit ribosomal RNA", at positions 524 to 776 of the family's 1533-position model. The record is from RNAcentral.
UACGGGGGGAGCAAGCGUUGUUCGGAUUUACUGGGCGUAAAGGGCGCGUAGGCGGCCAGCGCAAGUCAGUUGUGAAAUCUCCGGGCUUAACUCGGAAAGGUCAACUGAUACUGCGCGGCUAGAGUGCAGAAGGGGCAACUGGAAUUCUCGGUGUAGCGGUGAAAUGCGUAGAUAUCGAGAGGAACACCUGCGACGAAGGCGGGUUGCUGGGCUGACACUGACGCUGAUGCGCGAAAGCCAGGGGAGCGAACGGG